CCUUUAGUGUGUGAAGUCACGAAUUACACUUUUUUUAACAUACAUUUUCCGCUUUAGUCUUAUUUAAAUUUAAUCUGGUCGCUUAUUUGGAAUUAUUUUGAUCAGAUAAUUUGCGUAUGUUGGACACUUGUUUUAUUCACUGGCUUGUUUUUGCGAUACCUGGCAACUGUGUCCAGUCAACUGAUUCAGCAAACACGUGGACGGGCGUCGCAACACACUGAAAACACGUCUGGAGUAGAGUAAGAAGUAUAAAUAUAUAAUCGAUAUCUCUAUUUUGUUACUCAAAAUUGUGUGUCCGUGGUGACUGUGAACGAGAAAUUCCGGCCGGGAUUCUUUCAUUUAAAGUUACGUUGAUAACACAACGAUGAGCAAAAAGACCAAGAAAUUCAACGUCAACGUUUGCAAAAGAUGUUUGCUCUGCGGUCAGCAGUACGGACAAAAGGGUUCUGACAUCUUUGGCUGGCCCCUCCUUUGUUUUUCCUUCUUGAAUUCUUUUCACUGCCUCUGCAUAACUUAUAUUACUCUUUGUUUUAAUUUGUUGGACCUCCACUGCUCUUUCCCUUACCUCACAUCCUCCAUAUGUCACACUAUGAUCUCCACCAAGUUACAACAGGCUACCUUCGCAUUUUCCCCACAUUCCUCAUACCUAUGCUCCCCCCACAGCACAUCUUUGUUUUCCUCUACACACUGCCGCAAUAUGUCCAUAUCUCUGACACUUGUAACACCUAAGAGGUGGUGGAACAUAUUCUCUGACAUAGUAGCUCAUGUAUUCCUAUUUUAACCCUUUCUGGAAGUUUUUCAUUUUGAAAGUCAAUUAACACAGACAAACUGGCAACUCGUUUUCCAUUUACUGUUUUAUUUAAUCUCACAUUCGUUACUAUUCCUCCUAGUAUAUUCUUUUUGAUGUUGUCCAAAUCCUCUUCGACUGGAAUACCCCAUAUUACUCCCAGUUUCCCCAUUUUUCCAUGUAUUACUUUUUUAUCCACUACAGUCUUCUUGCAUACAUUUCCAAUAUGCAACGCUUUAUUCAUUUGUUCCUCUGUCUUACAUUUGAUCAGUAUAUUCCCGUCCUAAAGGAUUUUUGCCAUUUCUAUCUCUCCCAGCUUCUUCUUUAAAUCUUUGGUAAGUGCAAUGGGACCUAAAGCUAUGUGUUCAUCUUCUUUCCUCAUUACAAGUAUUAUCUUGAAUUCUUCCCUUUCCAAUCUCCUCCAAAUUGUCUGCUCAUUUUCCUCGAAACUACUUUCUUCCAGACCCCUUUUUUUGCUUAUGGUAUUUAUGCUUCUAUUCCCUCCUUCCUGACUUCUUCCUAUAUCCCGCUCUUUUUCACCCCCUACCGCCAUCCAUUCUUCACUAUUUACGUCGUCAUCUUCAUACUAAGAUCCUUCUCUCCUGAUCCAUUCACUAACCAGUUCCUUCGGAAACAACGAUGACUCUCUGAUGGGUCGUGCCCACGCAAAAGCGGCCAGAGACCCCGCCCUGACAGAGACAGCAGGCCACCGGCACAAGAAUCAAAGCCGCGUUCCUGAUGCUGUCUCUCGGAGGAGAAAAUCUGCACCCAGCGCUGAAGACGAGUCACUGAAAAAGUCUGCUCGCUCUGCUGUGUGUUCACCACACCCCUGCCUGUUGGAGGCGGCAAGAGCAAUUGUUAUGUUUGUGUUUGACUGUUCCACUAUGUAGUGCAAUAAAGUUGAAAAACAUACAAAACUCACCUCAAUAUCAGAGCAGUUCUCCUCUUCUCACUCCCCUCUCCCACAUCACUCACUCUCACAGAGAUUGGUUUAUCUCUGUGGAUUUAAAGGAUGCUUAUUUUCACAUUCAGGUAGCCCCUCGCCACAGGCGUUUCCUGAUAUUUGCAUUCGAGGGGAUAGCGUACCAGUUCACGGCCUUACCCUUAACGCUGCUCAGCGACAAGCUCAGACUC
Molecule: long non-coding RNA, 1921 nt
Organism: Cyprinus carpio carpio
Lineage: Eukaryota; Metazoa; Chordata; Actinopteri; Cypriniformes; Cyprinidae
Source: Ensembl